GUCUGGAGUAAAUCCGCUGAAGUCAGAAUCUGGCCCAGUGGAGCCACAUGUGGGAGCACUUUCAGUUUACAUUUCUGCAACCACUCAAGAGAUUGCUGUAAAGAAAACAAACAAAAAUGGACUGGCUGGCUCAGAAGCCCCAGAGCUAGACACGCAUCAAGAGACAGGCCGCCGCACUCUGAAGCAUUGCCGCCUAACUAGACAAAGGAUGGGGAGAAAGGGCUACAACAUACAAACAGAAGAUCAGGGACUGAAUUGCAGCAAGAGUAAGGGCCUGACUCAAUGAAUAUUGAAGGCUUCCCAGUGGCUUUGGAGCGAGCCCAUCAGGAUUCCUUAAGCUCACACACGCAGCAGAUGGAAGAGCCAGGAGCUGAACACGGUUGUUCUGAAUCACAGCUUAGGGCUUUAACCACAAGGCCAUGCAGCUCCAUGGAAUCUAUGCUGCCCAGGCUUUUUCCAGAUGCCUCUGCCCCAACUGUCUCUCUAUUUCCGAGGCUGGUGGGGAGGGGAACCAUAGGAGAGGCAAUGCAGGCUUUGC
Molecule: long non-coding RNA, 538 nt
Organism: Mauremys mutica (yellowpond turtle)
Lineage: Eukaryota; Metazoa; Chordata; Testudines; Geoemydidae
Exons: 3
Source: RefSeq, a predicted model, not a curated record